AGCAGCCGCGGUAAUUCCAGCUCCAAUAGCGUAUAUUAAAGUUGCUGCAGUUAAAAAGCUCGUAGUUGAAUUUCGGGAUCGAUACGUCGGUCGUGCCUUCGGUACGCACUGGCGUUUAUCGAUUUCUCCCUUCUGACGAACCAUGAUGUCAUUAAUUUGGUGUUAUGGGGAAUCAGGACUGUUACUUUGAAAAAAAUUAGAGUGUUUAAAGCAGGCAUUAGCUUGAAUACAUUAGCAUGGAAUAAUGAAAUAGGACGUUUUGAUUCUAUUUUUGUUGGUUUCUAGGAUCGACGUAAUGAUUAAUAGGGAUAGUUGGGGGCAUUAGUAUUCAAUUGUCAGAGGUGAAAUUCUUGGAUUUAUUGAAGACUAACUACUGCGAAAGCAUUUGCCAAGGAUGUUUUCAUUAAUCAAGAACGAAAGUUAGGGGAUCGAAGACGAUCAGAUACCGUCGUAGUCUUAACCAUAAACUAUGCCGACUAGGGAUCGGAUGAUUGUUAAGUUUUUUAAAUGGUACUCAUUC
This 520-nucleotide ribosomal RNA is filed under the name uncultured Glomus. RNAcentral describes it as "SSU rRNA". It matches the Rfam family "Eukaryotic small subunit ribosomal RNA", at positions 569 to 1081 of the family's 1831-position model. The record is from RNAcentral. Lineage: Eukaryota; Fungi; Glomeromycota; Glomeromycetes; Glomerales; Glomeraceae.